Molecule: ribosomal RNA, 400 nt
Filed under: Bacillus thuringiensis
Lineage: Bacteria; Bacillati; Bacillota; Bacilli; Caryophanales; Bacillaceae
Description: bacterial SSU rRNA
Rfam family: Bacterial small subunit ribosomal RNA
Source: RNAcentral
GGGCAGUGCGGCGGUGCUAUACAUGCAGUCGAGCGAAUGGAUUGAGAGCUUGCUCUCAAGAAGUUAGCGGCGGACGGGUGAGUAACACGUGGGUAACCUGCCCAUAAGACUGGGAUAACUCCGGGAAACCGGGGCUAAUACCGGAUAAUAUUUUGAACUGCAUGGUUCGAAAUUGAAAGGCGGCUUCGGCUGUCACUUAUGGAUGGACCCGCGUCGCAUUAGCUAGUUGGUGAGGUAACGGCUCACCAAGGCAACGAUGCGUAGCCGACCUGAGAGGGUGAUCGGCCACACUGGGACUGAGACACGGCCCAGACUCCUACGGGAGGCAGCAGUAGGGAAUCUUCCGCAAUGGACGAAAGUCUGACGGAGCAACGCCGCGUGAGUGAUGAAGGCUUUCGGG